Lutra lutra (Eurasian river otter) is the source of this 11883-nucleotide long non-coding RNA. RefSeq lists it as uncharacterized. The record is from RefSeq and is a predicted model, not a curated record. NCBI's taxonomy places the organism in Eukaryota, Metazoa, Chordata, Mammalia, Carnivora, Mustelidae. The transcript is spliced from 3 exons.
ACUGUGAUAACUGAAGGAUGGCAGCCAUCUUGCCUUCCAUCAAAGGAGUCCCGUCAUGCCCAGGAAGGAAGACUGAAGAUGAAGCGGGCAUGAGAAACAGCAGCGGGGACCUGCAGUCCCCUGGGUAAGCAGAAACCUGCUUACCCUGUUCCUGCAAUGUACCUCUCCUGGAACAUAGGGUAUGUUAUUCCCUCUGUCUUUGCCUUGUUUGUAACAUGGCGGGAAUAAGGAGGAGUUGGGCGGUUGCUUACAUGACAGGGUGAAGAUGGUUGCAUGGAGUGGACAUGUAUUCAGAUCUUCAGAACUUCUACAAUAGUGGUGCUAGAUAAGUGCUAAUUAUGAAUUAGCAUUUCUCAAGAGGUAUUCAGAGAAAUUUGUGCCAUUUUUUUAAAAAAAUUUCAAGAUUUUUAAAAGAUUUUUAAGAUUUUUUAAAAGAUUUUUAAGUAAUCUUUAUACCCAUCGUGGGGUUUGAACUCAUAACCUUGAGAUCAAGAGUCACAUUCUUCACCCCUGAGCCAGCCCCCCCCUUUUUUUCUUUCACUGUAAAAAGGUGUUUUUAUUAAAGCACAGGGACAGGACCCAUGGGCAGGAAGAGCUGCCCUGGGACUGUGAGGAGCAAUUGAUUUGCCAUUUUUAUAAAUGUAAGAGGUAACCUGAUUAGCUAGAUAUUUGUCAAUAGUAGAUAUUCGAGAUGAAAUUCAACUUAAAGGGAGGAAAAAAAGCCCUACAUGUUGAAUAACAUUGAUGAUAUUAUGAUGAAUAAAAUUAUAUUUUUGUGCUUAAGGAAUGGAUAGGGACACAUCAUGUUUCAGAAACAUAAAAAAUAAUUUAACAUCUAGCCUAAUUCAAAAAAUAUUUACUGAAUGCCCAUAUUGUUGCUGUCACCUUUACAUGAAAAUAAAAUGUAAAUAAUUUUAUUUCUAUCAAGGAUUGAGGACCACUCUGAAGUGGUAUCUAAACAUUUUGGGAGGUAAACCUAUGAAUACAACCCAGCAUCAGGUUUGCAUAGAAGACUAGGAAAUGUAACAGACCAUGUAUCUUUAGUCUGCAUCCCACGCUGGAGAGCGCUAUUUUGUUUGGGGUGGGGUUACUGGAGAAUCCAGGGUUUCCCACAUCCUUCAAGACCCCUAAGGAAGCUGUGUACAUGGUUCAGCAGCAGAUAGGAGUCAAAGUAUGUAAACUUAGUGUUAGCUCACAGACUGCUGCAAAGCUCCCAUAAUCUUACAUAGCUUAGCCUCAGUGCAUUAAACAGAGACUUCUUACCUCUUCUAUAUCUGGGAAUCUGACCAUCCUAGGGACAGAUGACUGGUGUAGGAACCCACGGCAGUGACCCAUAUGCUUGGACUAAGAGAUGACAGACCCUGCUGAGGUCAGGAUGUGCCUCCACAGGGUGAGAGGAGCCAGGGAAGGAAAAGACAUAUGUGUGACCCUUUAGUAUACAAAGACCAUACUGGCUAAUCAGUAGAGCCCAGUUAAUGUCUUGGACCUGGGCCAAGUGUAUUAUCAAGUCCUUCACUGAGAGAGAAUGAGGAAAAAGGGGAACCGGAGGUGUGAAUGGAGAGGCAAAGCUUUGUCUUCCCAUCCAGAGAGGGUCAGUUUCACCCUUCAUUGUGGGAUCCUCAGACGUUCCUGGUCAUGGCAUUCCUUUGCUGGUUCACAUAAUUCUCUUUAACCCGUCUUCUUCUCCCAAAGAGGGACCAUUCCUUGGGUAACCCCUUGAGCCAUACCUGCUUGGCGCUGUAUUGUUUCCCACACGGCAUUGACCACAUUAUGGCCCAGUACCUUCACAUGUCCUCAUACAUUCAGAAUUUUGAAACUGCAGGCUAGAUGAUGGUUUUGAUUAAUUAUAGGGAGCUGUAUAUUACACCAUGGGUCCUGAAAUUCCUUGGGAGUUUUCUGCUUCCUUAAACAGAAAGGGAAUUUCUGACAGAAACCCUGGAAGAACUUCUAAGAAAGGAAAGUUCUGGGAUUGGUGAAUUCUCAAGUAACUUGAAACAUUCCUAAUUUUUAGUGUUCUAGCAGGUGGAAAAAAGUGCCUCAGGGAGCGACGUGUUGUGUAAUCAUUGGCCUUGGUGAGGAUUUCACCACCUUCUUUGAUCUUCCUGUUUUCCAGUUACUAGUUUUAUAAAAAUUCAGGUUUUAUACUUACUGCACUCUGAUGCCAGGAUCCACACCCGAGCCUGUGGGAUGCAGCAGAGCUGAGUGUUGGAUGUAGUUUGGAAUCACCCUGGGCACUUGGACAAAUGGAGCUAUACUGGGUCCUGUUUCCUGUCAACAGGAAAGCCCGAGGCUUGGUCUGUGGCAAGAGCUCUGGGAGGCUUGCCUAGGCCUGGAGGUCUUUGGCAUCUUCAAGGCAGUUCAUCGAUGUAAGGUGUUCCAACAGGUUGAGUGAGAAGAGAUGCAAGGAAAAUCUGACAGGGUUUUUCCACUGUUUUGAUUAAAACACAAUGUGUUUGGUUGGUGUAUUCCUUACAUUCUUCAUUUAGGUAUGUAAGAAGGGACUUAAACAUAGAAAUACCAUAUGAUCCAGCAUUCCAGUCCACUUCCGGUUAUAUACCCAAACAGAUGUUUGUAUACUCAGGUUCACGGCUGCAUUAUUCACAGUAGCCCAAAGGUAGAAGCAGCGAUGGACGAAUGGAUGAACAGAGGGUGUAUGGGUGCAAUGGAAUAUUACUCAGCCUUAAAAAAGAAGAAAAUUGAGGCACGUGCUGCUACUUGGAUGGAUCUUGAUGAUCGUUUAGUGAAGUGAGCUAGACACAGAAGGAUAACUACUCUGUGACUUCUCUGGGAUGAGGUUCUUGGAGUAGUCCAAUUCCUGAUGCCAAAAAGUGGAACGGUUGUUGCCCAGGGCCGGGGGUAGGGGUGGGGGGCUCAUGUUUAAUGGGUGCAGAGGUAUUGGGGACGACGAAAGAAUGGAGAUGGAUGGAACAACAGUGUGAAUGUACUUCACGCCACAGAACUGCACCCUUAAGAAUAGUUCCAGGCUACAUUUUAUGUUUAUUUUACCACAAUUUAAAUAAAAAGAAGGCAUUUCAGGGUAAAAGCACUGUUGCAGCCCACAACGGGAGUGAGCUGAUUGCUCUCUUCCUUAGUCUUCAAUGUGAAGAUAGCAGUUUCAAAUAAGAAUUUAAAAUGUUAACAUGUAAUUUUCAUGUCUUUUUGCAUUUAAACUUCUCUAGUCUGUAGACUGUUAGACAUAUUUCCAGGGUUUCUGGCAUAACUUAGCAUAGUUAUAAAAUUUUGUAAAAUACAAAGAAACUGAAGCCUACAGUGAGGACUAAACAAAAAAUGGGAAGGGGGCCUCAACAGGCAGUGAGGUGAUGGGGCAUCUCUUGCUGACUUUAUACAGUUUCUGGUGAAAUCAGGGUGGCUCACUGGGUCUCUCCGUGUUCCAGUUGCCUCAUUAGCCCACUUCUUUGGAAUUGUGGUAAAGGUGAAAUCGCAUAUAUUAUAUAUGAGAUACAGAGAUACGUGUGCGUGUACUGUGUAUCAUGAAUUAUAUGUACACAUCGUUCUGUGUACAUAUGUGGCCAUAUUGAUGACCAAAGGAAUGUUCGAGUGUAGUAUAUUCUCAAAAUGUAAAAAUAACAAUGUCUGAAGAGAAUAGCUCCAGUAUCUCUAAAUAAAUCAAACUUCUAAACAUCCUAGUUGGAUUUGUAACUCGGACCCCACCAGCCUCAUUAGAAAGAGUGUUCUAAGCUUGCUGAUGAUCAUGAAAGAGUUCUGUUACUACAUGUCUAAAUUUGAAAAUAAAUAAAAGCAUUGAGACAAGAAACAGGCAGUGAUAAUCUUCUCUCAUGGAUCAUGUUUUAUUAGCCAUGAGUAAAAAGCAUUUGUAGACCUUAUCUGCUUCAUCACAAAGCUCUUAAUUGGGGCCAUUCUUUGCAAAUCAGAUUGUCAUUUUGUACUAACUGCCCCUACAAGAUCCCAUGCAGUAUUCCGCCUUGGUCAUACCCUGCGAUUUGGAGCCAUGGGGCUGAGCUCUUGACCCUGCCACACCAUGUUCAGAUAUUUGGCGAUACCUCAUACAUAGUUAGGUUUUCUGGCAAUUAUAAAUGUGUCAUUAUUAAAUGGAUUUAUUUUUGAGACAGCAAGCAUCUUUGUGCUUCUGUGCUUCUUGUAGAGGAUUCCCUUCCCCCAGUUGCUUCCUUAAAACUCUGCAUUCAUAUUUACAUAACCUGUCCCUCUCAUACAGUUUAUUCUCACCAUUACCUUUCAGUUAAUCUUUUACCACACAGAUUCUCAUCAAGCAUGGGCAAGAGUGAGGGAGGCACCAAAACACUUUUUUCUUUUGUAUCCAAACAUGACGAUUGUGAAGAUUCCCGUUGACAGAGAAUUUCAAGUGGGAGAGUGUGCCUGGAACAUUGUCAACUGGAGUUUUUUAAAAUUGUUUGAAAGGGUUGGGGGUUGUAAUAACAUGCUUCUGAUGUAAUAUAUGUUAAAAACAAUUCACAUAAUAGAAAUGGAGUUGAGUAAGCAGAUUAUAUUUUUAUGCAUUUGGACUAUUGCUGUACUUGGUUUUCCAUGAGAUAAUGAGGAGCCAGGUAGUGCUAUUAAGAAAAGGGAAGAUGUGGAGAACAGUUCCAAUUGAGUCAGUGGGAAACUUGUUUUCAUUUUCUAUUUUGAAGUCAAAUUCCAGGUAUAUUCCCUAUUAGUAGACACUCGUUCCUCCUUUUUUUUUUUGUUCCACUUUGAAAAUGAAUACCUUCAGAUUGGGACUAUCUUAGGGUCAGUGGGGGUGGCUGCUUGGAGCACUUCGUUGAGACUCGACGCUACAUCUGGUCCAUAGUAAGGAGCACUGUACCACCCAUCCAUGUCCACCACUGUCUGCCGUGGGCAUCAGACUGAGAAGCGGUGGUACCUUUGUAGCCCGCACACUGUUGUUACUAGGGAGGUUUAGAUCCUCUGGAAGGUGGAAAUUCUCAAAGUCACAUUGAUAAAGACUAGAUUUCUGGGAAGCUCUGUCAUUGGGAAUAUAGACACCCUUUUUUUAUGGGGACGAUAUCAAGGAGUUUUAAUUAAAAUGUCUGCCAAUAAAAUGUCUAGACCUAAAUCUUUCUUUUAGUAUCACUCACUGAUACCUGUUUAAAAAAAAAAAAUCCUGACUCACGGUGCAAGUCUUAAAUUUUUCUCAUACCCUAUUCCAAAACCAUAAAAUGUGCCACUCUUUAGUAAAUGCAUCUUGGACAAUCUCUUGUGUGAUUUAUAUAUACAGAAUUUUGUUUAAGCAGUUGGAUCAAAUAGAAGAGACUUCCUUUUUGCUUGAGAUGGGUCCACAGUUGUUGUGCACCCAGGUGCUCAUUUCACCUGAACGCCGAUCUUCAGCGUAGAAGAGUGUGCCUCAGUUUGUAAUGGAGGAACCUGGGGAUGCUCAUGGCGGUCCCUAAGCCACACAGCUAGCAAGUGGUAAGAGGGAGGGUCUGAGUCCAGAACAGGAAAAGUAUAGGAAAUUAAGUUAAUACAAAUCCAAUUUUGCUCUUAAAUGUUUAGUAGGUGAGACUUUGAAAAGGGAUUGAACCCAGCAUUUGUAGAAAUGCUGUAAAACUUAACCACCAUACACGCUGCCUUCCCCAUUCCAUUCUUGCCUUCUGUUGUUCACCCAAGCUGUGCAGCUGCAAUUAACCUUUUUUAAAAUGAAAAUUUGAUCACGGCACCAAAAAAAAGCCCUCUGAUGGCUUUCGUUACUCUGGGACCAAGACUAUUGUCCUUAACUUACCUGGAGGGCCUGGGUAGGGUGCCUUUCACUCCUCUCUGAUCAUCUUUUGCACCCAUUUGGUUGGCUCACCCUUUGGGGAAUGGAGUCUCCUGCAUUUUCUUCUUCCAGGAUACCCUUGCUAUUCACUCCACCUGGUGGUUUCUUAGCCUCUGGUUAAAUAGUAAUUCUCAGAGACCCCUUUCCUGAUGCCAGCUGUGUCCAGUCUUGUGGCACUCUGUGCUUUUUCUUCAGAGCACUGGUCACCAUUACACGGGUGUCUGUGGGGUUAUGUGUAUUUGAUGUCUCAGACUGGGAGUUCCUUGAGGACAAGGACCAUGUUUCUAUCCGUUGCUAUGUUCACAGGGCUUGCAGUGUGACUUGCCGUAGAAAUCUAAGGUAGUGUGAGAUGCUGAGGGGUCUCUCCUCUUUUCUAACGAGGUGAGAAGAGCACCCAGCUAAAAACAAGGUGUUGAAAAUCCCCACUUUUGACAUUUAGGUACUUAAUCCAUUUUGAUUUUAUUUGUGUGUAUGGUGUUGAAAGUUGCCCAAUUUCAUUCUCUUCCUUGUAGCUCUCCAGUUUUCCAACUAAUAUAACUGUGUUAACCACACUAAAAACAAAAAAUAAAAUUCAGGCUUACCAAAAAAAAACUCCCCGCUUUUCUCUGGUCAGAGGACUGCAGCUCUGUGGCCAGCAUUUUCCUGCUGCUUUUUCCAAAGGUCAUUUCAGCAGAACCAGUUCUUGAAUUGCAUUCAUCCCUCACACCCAAGUAAAAGAGCUCAAAGAGGGGGAGAUGUCAACUCGGGGCGGGACCUCCCUCAUUGAAAGAAGGGUGCGUUCAACUUGGAGAUCAUCUUAUGUCUGAAAAUUGGUGAGCGUUAUCCCGGCGUCAUGCCCAGCCUCUGCAAAGCUAAGAGGAGUGGAGAGAAGAAAGUGAGGACAAAUUGGGUGGGUAAUAGAUGUGAGGUUUCUUGGAACUGUGACCUCAAGUGAAUCCACAGAAAAUGCCUGGGGACUUAAGCUUUCUGGCUAGUGCCCAACAGAAGAGCACUCCAGAACCCCUGAAGGGAACCCUGGCAGUGUGUCUCUCAGAUGUGCCCUCCCAGGAGCAAGCCAGGAGGAUAUGGAUGGUAUCCCAAAGUGCAGGCCACUUGCCAAGCAGAAAACACCCCCAACAAGGGUGUGUCAGGGGUGGGUGAUCUUGGGAUUCCCUUUUGAACCUCACGAAAUGGCAACCCAGCUUUCAGGUGGAGCUUUUUUGAAAGCUGUCAUUUCCUCAGAACCAGCUCUCAAAUUCAUUGUGGACAGUAAUGAAGCAAUCGGAGAAUCAGCUCAGGGAGAUGGAUGGGGAGGGGUGCAGGUGAGAAGAGACCACCUCACUUUCCCAUUGCACGUCCCUAGAGCAUCGAGACCUGCUUCAGCCGGAGAGAGGUCCAGAGCCUCGUACUGAACAUGAGGGGAAAGUUAGCAAACGAAAUGCUGAGCUACUCAGAUCGGGAGGCCAAUUGGAGAUGUUCUUACUACUCAAGAGGAAAGGGCAGAUUAUACAGAGCACAAAAGAAGUCAUUGGAAAUAAUUUCAUGUUUUAUUCUUCAACAGAGUUGAAAUUCACAAGUUAAAAUGAUUCAUUGAAAGAAUAAAAGGGCUAUGACAUGCCCUUUCACACAGAAGCCUGCCUGUCAGUAUUCCUUUCCUAUAAAGUCCCUCACCUGCUGCCUCUAACAUGUGAAGGAGUGGAAAUUCCAGUGCAGUCUGAACACUUCUGGGGGCCUGUGGAUUCCCACUGCCGCCCUUGCUCCCUGCAGAAGCAAGGAGGCAAUUUAGCUAGACAGCAAAAUGCAAUAAGGAAAUUUGCUCACAAUCACCUGCCACCUUUGCCUGAAGGAAACUUGCAGGAGGGCAGGUAGGAGUUUUCCAGUGAUGCUUCUAGGUUACCAUCCAGGGGUGUGAAUUCAAGACCACUAGAUUCACUAAGAAUAUCCCAGUGUGGGGUGGGAGGGGGGAUAAAAUAUAUAAAGGGGAUUAAGUACACAUACCUUGAUGAACACUAAGAAACGUAUUGAAUCAUUAUAUUGUAAACCUGAAACUAAUAUAAAUUAAUUUGAAUAAAAGUUUUUUAACAGUAUCACAAUGUCGAAUCAGCUGGCUUCAACCAAAGCAGCAAAAAACUUGCUGAUGCACCCGCCUUUAAUAAUGUUUGUGCCAUCUGGAAAGCAAGUUGUAAAUGACCGAUGGGAAUCUACUUGUUAACCCUGUCAUUGAGGAUAGGAACCUUAGAGAUCAUUUGCUCUCGCAUUUUUCAAGCGGUGGGUUUGAAAUCAAGUAUGUCUUAAGCAGCAAGUAGAAAAUAAUCAGAAUGCAUGCAUGUGGUGAGGAUAAGAUUACGUCAUGAAACUUCACAGUUGCAUGCUUGAGUGUACGUUGGUGGGUCUGUGUAGUGGGACAUAAUGCAUUAAAUUCACAAGUCGCUGAUGGUAGACUCUAGAUCAUCUCAUUAUGUAUUUUACAUUUUGGAACACUUAGCACGGUGAAGAUACUUGUCCAAGGUCAGUAGCAACAGCUAGGAACUUGUCUCACCAGCCUGGGGAGAACAGCAAUAGCUCAUACUUAGUGAGUGAUUACUGUGUGCCAACAACUGCCCUUAAAUAUUUCAUAGGGAAAGGGGGUAAAUUGACUGCGUUUGUUUCAAGUAAAGUGUGCAUGGCUCAACAGUGACAGAUCUGUGCUGCAGUCCACAGCUAGAUAAUAAAAUACAGAAGUUGUGAAUAAACAUUUAAAAUUUUCACAGCAUGACAAUUUUAUGACUGUUGAAUAUAGUAAUAAAACAUUGGCUUGCACUUGGUCUUUGAAUUUUUUUCCUAGCAGUUAAUUUCUACAUAUUUUAUGAAAAUUAUCAGUCCAUGAUGGAUUGGAAAUAAGAACAAACUGGUCUUUGACCACAGAUUGAGAAGCACUGACGUAGACCCAGCAAAGCCCACACACCUUUGCCCCUUUUUAUUCCUUUUGAAGUGCCAGGGGCUCACAACAACCGCUGGAUGGGGCAGAUGGCUGGAUACAAGGCUCCCAGCAGUAGAGAUGGGGUUACUGGCUAUCUAGGAGUGAGUUGGAGGACUUGAUUCUAGAAAUAGAUCUCUUGUCUUGGGGGUGGCUAAUAGAAAGGCACUAACACCAAUAAACACUUCAAAGCUUUCCUUCAGAACUUGUGGAAGUGGGACUGAUAGGGGAAGACAGAAAGAGCUCCUUCCUUUUAAAGUUGUCCCCAUGAGGAAAAGUUCGACACUGAACAAAUUAAAUUCUCAUUUCCGGAGACUCUCAGAGUGGUAAGAACCAGAGGGACGGUGCUUCAGAGGUGUCUGGGAAUAUAGAGCUGACUGAAGGGAGCCUGUGUGUGUCCUUGACUUGCAGGCUCUGUGGAGGGAAGCACACUUCAUAAAUCCUUUUGGGCUGCUUUUUGGCUAAAUCCUCAGAUUUGUACGAAGAACUGUUUUGAGUGAAUCAGUGUGUCUUUUGUUUGCAUCUUCUGGAAUCCUGAAGACUCCAGCCAAGGAGUUAGCAAGGCUGAGAACUGGACCGAGCAUUUAAUCAGUUGAACGCUUCCUUAUGUUCCCCUGGUUUGUUCUCAUAACAAGUGACCUUAGGCCAACUCCUAGCAACACAUGAUUGUGGAAUGUUCCCUCCUGAGGAAUACAGCCUUAUUUUUUCAUUCUGAACACAGUGAAAAUCUGAAAAUUCAGAUGAGUUUGGACAAUAAUGAUAAUGUAAGAUACUGUACCUGCUGUGUGCCCAGCAUUUUACAUAUGUGAUUACUAAAUGUUAAAAUAGCCCUGGUCAAAUUUUGGGGGAAAACUAAAGCUUAGAAAAGUUUGGUCAAUCACCUGAUGUAAUUGCAUCCAAGCCCCAGUUCUCGCCUUUCUGUAUUUCCUACAGAUUCUUAGCAGCAUCCUUGCAUAAAUGAGGCAAUGCCAGAACCCCAGAGUCAUGCCAUUUUCAUUGAGUCUUCCACUUGAAAACGGUAUCAAGAUCUACUCCCUUGUGGUUUUGAAUUUGAAUACAUGUCCCCUAGUCAGUUAUUUGGGAAUGUAGGUCCUGCGAACUCUGAAGUCUCCAUGGUAUUAACAGCUAACAUUGACAUUGAGGACAUUUUACUGAACCUGGGCGCAAUUAACUUUUAUCACGUUAGCUUACUGUCUCCUUUCUCAGAAACUGUCCCCUCUCCUUCCCUGUCCCUGUCCCUGCUGAGUUUUCUCACAGCACUUUCACAGAGUACGUUCACACUAACAUACUCCAGUUUACUUCCUUUGUGUAUUGCCAUCUUCCCCCACCCCCCACCCCGGCCCCACUUAGCAUAUAAGUUCCAGAAGGGCUGUGUGUGAGCUCACUGACGGAAGCUCCCAGCAAGUAGAACCAGGCCUGGUCCAUAAUUCGUGCUCACGUAUCUGUGGAAUGAAUGAAUGAACCUAGAAUGAAUGAACUCUAGUUACCUAGAGGUAACUGUCACUUUCAUCCCCGUCUUACAUGUAAGCAAACUGAAGUUCACGGUGUUCACGAAUAGGCUCAAAUACAGAGCAGUUCUUUGUUUACCUGGAAGUCUAUUUUCAAACGUUCGUGGUUAUAGCUUCCUUUCUCCGCUAUAUUGUCGGAAUGAGAAAUUGGACAUGAGAAAGAGUUUGGUUUGGCACUAUAGGUAUCCUCCUUAGAGGUGAUAAGCAUUAUAUAUUUGUGAAAUACAGAGAUUGGGCCUUUCGUGUACUGUAGGAACCAUAGCUGGUAUUGAGGUAAGUAAGAUGUCUUUCCCCUGCGUCCUCUUGGGGUGCCCCCAAGAUUUAUAAUGCACCGAAGGAACCGGGCUAUAUAAAUGACUUGCUAAUUCAAGGCUGCUUCUGUUGGAGCCAUCGUGGGCCUCUCCUGACACAGACUUGCAGAGUUGUGAAGGACCUGGGGGAUGUCCAUGCCAGCCUACCCACCUCUGCCCCUAAGUGCCAGGCUCUGGGACUCAGGCCCUCCUUCACUGGACAGCCUGCUCCACUGCUAGACAGCUGCCUCUUCAGAUGACUCUCUGAAUUGUAUCUCCAAGGGACUUCGACCCAUGAGCCUGAGUUCUGCUGUCCAGGGAAUUACAGAAUAAAUGACGUCAUCCUUUCACCUAUCAGCCCUUCAAAUAUUGUUUACUUGUGCUCAUUCUUCAGUUUUUCUUGUCCCAGUCCAUGAGACGUUUCUUACAUGGCAUCUUUCCAGCCACUUUCCCAUCCUGCUUGCUCCCUUUUGUGUGCUCUCCAGUUCAUUCAUGUCCAGCGUAAAUGUGUCAUGCAGCUGUCCAGGUGUGGUGUUAGGGUUGCAUCCAUUGUGUUUUCACAGUCAUGCUACCCUGUUGGCUCAUCCACGCUCCCGAAGGCCCUUAGUGUAAACUAUUGUGGAACUCAAGUGGGAAGAACAUACUGCACAGAUGGAACCAAGGAUUAGUGAGGAUUAUGAAAAAUUACAGUGAUGUCUGUGGACAUUCUGUCCCUCAUUAAUCUGUGUACACCUGCUGCCACACCCAAGGUAGUUAGGAGGAGAGCAAGCAUUUAUUGCACGCAGACUAUGUGUAAGACGAUGUCUUCAGACAUUUUACAUUUACUACCUGUUUAACUUUCCAAACAACCAUAGUCACACCUAUUAUUAAACUCUAUGUUACACUCAGGAGACCGAGAUUAGGAGAGAUGAGCAACAUGCUUAAGGUCACAUAGCUUGUAAUUGGCGGAGUGUGAGUAUGAGUCUAUGUUUGCCUCCAAAUCCCAUGUUUGAUAAGGUGCCAAGGCUCCUGUUUUCAUUAUCUCUGAAAAACAUGGACAAGAAGAUAUCUUAAAGGAGUUAUGGUAUCUUCUUCCUAUCCUGCAAAGAAGGAAAGGAUCUGAAUUACUGUGUUUCUGGUCUGUGCCAGUUGUGCCAUAUCUGUUUAUCUCAUUUAGUCUUCAGGACAAUUCUGUGAGGAGAACAUUAUUGUCAUGACCAUUUUGUAGGUGAAAAAACCAUGGCUCAGAGAAGACAAAUCUAGGUCUUUGUCACACAACUACUUGCAUUUAGAGUCAACAUGCUUUCUCCCGCAUUAUGCCACUUCUCAAAGAGGGUUUUCUUUUUUUCUUUCUUUUUUAAAAUUUUUAAUUAACAUAUAUUAUUAGCCCCAGGGGCACAGGUCAGUGAAUCGCCUGGU